ACCUAGCUGGCUCAGUCAGUAGAGCAUGUGACUUUUGAUUUCGGAGUUGUAGGUUCAAGCCCCACAUUGGGUG
RNAcentral lists this transfer RNA (73 nucleotides) under Canis lupus familiaris (dog). It matches the Rfam family "tRNA". Rfam says of the family: Transfer RNA (tRNA) molecules are approximately 80 nucleotides in length. Their secondary structure includes four short double-helical elements and three loops (D, anti-codon, and T loops). The record is from Rfam by way of RNAcentral. RNAcentral also lists the same sequence under 1 other name. Lineage: Eukaryota; Metazoa; Chordata; Mammalia; Carnivora; Canidae.